Molecule: long non-coding RNA, 615 nt
Organism: Condylostylus longicornis
Lineage: Eukaryota; Metazoa; Arthropoda; Insecta; Diptera; Dolichopodidae
Exons: 2
Source: RefSeq, a predicted model, not a curated record
UAUUUAAAAAAGAAUUAACUAUUUUUUUUUUAAUUAAAUUAAAAUUUUGUUUUUUUUUUUUUUAGUAGAAGCUUUUUUAUUAAAAAACUAUUUCUAUUGUUAUUCGUUCUAAAUUUUUAAUUAUGUGUGUGACGUGACGAAGUAAGAGUUUUCGUAUAGAACGUAAGAUUUUUUUUUAUUAAAACCAGUGUGUUUUUCAUUCUAUCUCUCUCUCGUUUUCUUUCUCUUUUCUAAUAUACCUUAAAUUUGUCUUCUACAUAAUAAAAAAAAAUUUUCUUGUGAAUCAAGAAUUAUAGCUUUUUUUUUUAUUUUAUUUAUUAGCAACAUAAUUUAUUAUUAAUUUUUUCAAAUUAUUUUAAUUUUUUUAUUAAUACAUCUACGUAUAUAAUGAAGGUUCGGUGGACGACGAAACGAAAAUCAUAAAAAAAAUAGUAGCAACACGAUGGUCACCCUUAUUUUUUUAUGAUGUGGUGUGGUUGGUUUUAAGGAAAUUUUUAUAAAAAUCCACUUAUUGACAUUUUCAAUUAUAAAAAAUACACACUGCGACCACCAUCUAUAAAAUAUACGAUACACAAUUGUACUAUAUAUAUAUUAUAUUUUCUAGGCAAAAAAUGU